GUACAACCAAACCUCCGCAAUGGACGGGACCACUCCCUUAUCUAAGAGCCACACCUCUAAGAAUUAAAACACUAACAUAAAAUGAUCCAUGAUCUGAUCAAUGAACCAAGUUACCCUGGGGAUAACAGCGCAAUCCAUUUCAAGAGCCCUUAUCGACAAGUGGGUUUACGACCUCGAUGUUGGAUCAGGGUAUCCUAGUGGUGCAGCAGCUACUAAUGGUUCGUUUGUUCAACGAUUAAAACCCU
Molecule: ribosomal RNA, 245 nt
Filed under: Mantidactylus opiparis
Lineage: Eukaryota; Metazoa; Chordata; Amphibia; Anura; Mantellidae
Description: partial 16S ribosomal RNA
Rfam family: Bacterial large subunit ribosomal RNA
Source: RNAcentral